AAUAUUGUACAAUGGGGGCAACCCUGAUCCAGCCAUGCCGCGUGUGUGAAGAAGGUCCUCGGAUUGUAAUCCACUUUAAGUUGGGAGGAAGGGCUUUAGGUUAAUACCCUGAAGUUUUGACGUUACCGACAUAAUAAGCACCGGCUACCUCUGUGCCAGCAUCCGCGGUAAUUCAGAGGGUGCAAGCGUUAAUCGGAAUUACUGGGCGUAAAGCGCGCGUAGGUGGUUCAGUAAGAUGGGUGUGAAAUCCCCGGGCUUAACCUGGGAACUGCUUUCAUAACUGCUGAGCUAGAGUACGGUAGAGGGUAGUGGAAUUUCCUGUGUAGCGGCGAAAUGCGUAGAUAUAGGAAGGAACACCAGUGGCGAAGGCGACUACCUGGACUGAUACUGACACUGAGGUGCGAAAGCGUGGGGAGCAAAC
RNAcentral lists this ribosomal RNA (421 nucleotides) under uncultured bacterium. Its description in RNAcentral is "partial 16S ribosomal RNA". It matches the Rfam family "Bacterial small subunit ribosomal RNA", at positions 360 to 773 of the family's 1533-position model. The record is from RNAcentral.